CCAGACUCCUACGGGAGGCAGCAGUGGGGAAUAUUGCACAAUGGGGGAAACCCUGAUGCAGCGACGCCGCGUGAGCGAUGAAGUACUUCGGUAUGUAAAGCUCUAUCAGCAGGGAAGAAAAUGACGGUACCUGACUAAGAAGCCCCGGCUAACUACGUGCCAGCAGCCGCGGUAAUACGUAGGGGGCAAGCGUUAUCCGGAUUUACUGGGUGUAAAGGGGGCGCAGACGGCCAUGGCAAGCCCGGUGUGAAAGGCGGGGGCAUAACCCCUGGACUGCACUGGGAACUGGCAGGCUGGAGUGCCGGAGGGGUAAGCGGAAUUCCUGGUGUGGCGGUGAAAUGCGUAGAUAUCAGGAGGAACACCGGCGGCGAAGGCGGCUUACUGGACGGCAACUGACGUUGAGGCCCGAAAGCGUGGGGAGCGAACAGGAUUAGAUACCCCCGUAC
RNAcentral lists this ribosomal RNA (446 nucleotides) under uncultured bacterium. Its description in RNAcentral is "bacterial SSU rRNA". It matches the Rfam family "Bacterial small subunit ribosomal RNA", at positions 331 to 793 of the family's 1533-position model. The record is from RNAcentral.